Molecule: small nuclear RNA, 100 nt
Filed under: Otolemur garnettii (small-eared galago)
Lineage: Eukaryota; Metazoa; Chordata; Mammalia; Primates; Galagidae
Source: RNAcentral
UUGUUUUAGUAGCAUAUAGACUAAAAUUAGAAUAAUACAAAUAUUAGCAAAACACCUGUGCAAGGAUGAUGCUAAAAUUCACAGUGCAUUCCAUAUUUUU